Molecule: ribosomal RNA, 492 nt
Filed under: uncultured bacterium
Lineage: Bacteria
Description: partial 16S ribosomal RNA
Rfam family: Bacterial small subunit ribosomal RNA
Source: RNAcentral
AGUGAACGCUGGCGGUAUGCCUAACACAUGCAAGUCGAACGGCAGCACAGUAAGAGCUUGCUCUUACGGGUGGCGAGUGGCGGACGGGUGACGAAUAGAUCAGAAUCUACUUUUUCGUGGGUGAUAACGGAGAGAAACUGACGCUAAUACCUCAUACAACCUACGGCUUAGAGCAAGGGAGCUUCAGGCCUUUCGCGAUUGAAUUAGACGGUUUCGGAUUAGCUAGUUGGGUUGGUAACGGCGCACCAAGGCGACGCUGCGUAGCGGGUCUGAGAGGAUGAUCGGCCACACUGGAACUGAGACACGGUCCAGACUCCUACGGGAGGCAGCAGUGGGGAAUAUUGGACAAUGGGCGCAAGCCUGAUCCAGCCAUGCCGCGUGGGUGAAGAAGGCCUUCGGGUUGUAAAGCCCUUUUGUUGGGAAAGAAAAGCAGCAGGUUAAUCCCCCGAUGUUCUGACGGUACCUAAAGAAUAAGCACCGGCUAACUUCGUG